Molecule: long non-coding RNA, 753 nt
Filed under: Homo sapiens (human)
Lineage: Eukaryota; Metazoa; Chordata; Mammalia; Primates; Hominidae
Description: HSALNT0030757
Source: RNAcentral
GAUUAAAGCGGUCCUUCUGCAAGCUUCUGGGUCCAGGAACUCGGAGCUGGAAGGGCAAAUACCACGUCUGGUCUACUGAAUUGGCAAGCCUCCUGGCUCAGGCACCACUGGACUCCAAUGUUCAGAAAACGGACAGUUGCUAUGUUGUGAGUAUUCUGGCAUUGUUGAGUUGGAACCAUCUGGAAUCCUUCUGGAUACUGACUGUUGGGCCCCUUGUAGUUUCUGGAAUUUACCCGCUUCUAGGAGCCACCUCUCUCCUCUGCACACAGGAGCUCAUCUGCACUAAAGGAUUAGAAGCAAAUAGAAUCUACCCCACGAUCCAAGCUCAAAGGAUCUGGCCUGCUUGCUGGUGUCUUCCCCUGGCCUCCGCUGGGUGGUGUUUGCCUGCCCAGGUCACUGAGACCAGCAGAUCCUUCUAGGCUUUGCUGAACCUGGCUGGUAAUAACUAUCUGACCCUUCAAUUCUUCCAUACACUGAACUCGUUGCUCCAGUGAAUCCCUUUCCCAGCCCACCUUGUUUUGUCUCUGCCUUUCUGUCUCUCCCACUUUCUCACCCUUUCAUGUAAUUCAGCAACUAUUUUAAAACAAAUAGCUUUAUAUGAACAAACUACAAUGCUUAAGAAAUCAGAAAAAUCAAUUGUUCUUCUCUUAUAUCAAGACCAAUCCUUAAUGCAUCGUGAAAGACUGGAACACCUGGGUGGCAUAUGCAAGCAUCAUCGGAAUUGAUCUCAGGAUCGAAGCGCUGACCGCAGCC